RNAcentral lists this ribosomal RNA (896 nucleotides) under Chalaropsis thielavioides. Its description in RNAcentral is "partial large subunit ribosomal RNA". It matches the Rfam family "Eukaryotic large subunit ribosomal RNA", at positions 41 to 966 of the family's 3401-position model. The record is from RNAcentral. Lineage: Eukaryota; Fungi; Ascomycota; Sordariomycetes; Microascales; Ceratocystidaceae.
UAUCAAUAAGCGGAGGAAAAGAAACCAACAGGGAUUGCCCUAGUAACGGCGAGCGAAGCGGCAACAGCUCAAAUUUGAAAUCUGGCUACUUUGUAGUCCGAGUUGUAAUUUGUAGAGGAUGCUUUUGGUGAGGUGCCUUCCGAGUUCCCUGGAACGGGACGCCAGAGAGGGUGAGAGCCCCGUACGGUUGGAUACCAAACCUUUGUAUAGCUCCUUCAACGAGUCGAGUAGUUUGGGAAUGCUGCUCUAAAUGGGAGGUAUAUCUCUUCUAAAGCUAAAUAUAGGCUAGAGACCGAUAGCGCACAAGUAGAGUGAUCGAAAGAUGAAAAGCACUUUGAAAAGAGAGUUAAACAGCACGUGAAAUUGUUGAAAGGGAAGCGCCUAUGACCAGACUUGUUUCUUUCAGUUUUGUUAGUUCUCGGACUGAUUUACUCUGUUAGUACAGGCCAGCAUCAGUUUGUUGUCGGGGAGAAAGGCUUAGGGAAUGUGGCUCCUUCGGGAGUGUUAUAGCCCUUUGCAUAAUACCCUUCGGCAGACUGAGGACCGCGCUUCGGCAAGGAUGCUGGCGUAAUGGUCAUCAGCGACCCGUCUUGAAACACGGACCAAGGAGUCAACCUUAUGUGCGAGUGUUUGGGUGUAAAACCCCAGCGCGUAAUGAACGUGAACGUAGGUGAGAGCUUCGGCGCAUCAUCGACCGAUUCUGAUGUUCUCGGAUGGAUUUGAGUAAGAGCACACAGGGUUGGACCCGAAAGAAGGUGAACUAUGCUUGUAUAGGGUGAAGCCAGAGGAAACUCUGGUGGAGGCUCGCAGCGGUUCUGACGUGCAAAUCGAUCGUCAAAUAUGAGCAUGGGGGCGAAAGACUAAUCGAACCUUCUAGUAGCUGGUUCCAGCCGAUU